UACAGAGGUGGCAAGCGUUGUUCGGAAUUACUGGGCGUAAAGGGCGCGUAGGCGGCCAUCUAAGUCAGACGUGAAAUCCCCCGGCUUAACCUGGGAACUGCGUCUGAUACUGGAAGGCUUGAGUAUGGGAGAGGGAUGUAGAAUUCCAGGUGUAGCGGUGAAAUGCGUAGAUAUCUGGAGGAAUACCGGUGGCGAAGGCGGGUUGCUGGGCCGACACUGACGCUGAUGCGCGAAAGCCAGGGGAGCGAACGGG
This 253-nucleotide ribosomal RNA is filed under the name uncultured bacterium. RNAcentral's name for it is "partial 16S ribosomal RNA". It matches the Rfam family "Bacterial small subunit ribosomal RNA", at positions 524 to 776 of the family's 1533-position model. The record is from RNAcentral.